UACGUAGGUGGCAAGCGUUGUCCGGAUUUAUUGGGUUUAAAGGGUGCGUAGGCGGUCUAUUAAGUCAGUGCUGAAAUAUCCCGGCUUAACCGGGAGGGUGGCAUUGAUACUGAUGGACUUGAGUAAAGUUGAGGUUGGCGGAAUUGACGGUGUAGCGGUGAAAUGCUUAGAUAUCGUCAAGAACACCUAUUGCGAAGGCAGCUAACUAGCUAAACUGACGCUGAGGCACGAAAGUGUGGGGAGUCAAACAGG
Molecule: ribosomal RNA, 252 nt
Filed under: uncultured bacterium
Lineage: Bacteria
Description: partial 16S ribosomal RNA
Rfam family: Bacterial small subunit ribosomal RNA
Source: RNAcentral